RNAcentral lists this ribosomal RNA (433 nucleotides) under uncultured bacterium. RNAcentral describes it as "partial 16S ribosomal RNA". It matches the Rfam family "Bacterial small subunit ribosomal RNA", at positions 29 to 507 of the family's 1533-position model. The record is from RNAcentral.
AACGAACGCUGGCGGCAUGCCUAACACAUGCAAGUCGAACGAGACCUUCGGGUCUAGUGGCGCACGGGUGCGUAACGCGUGGGAACCUGCCCUUAGGUUCGGAAUAACUCCCCGAAAGGGGUGCUAAUACCGGAUAAUGUCUUCGGACCAAAGAUUUAUCGCCUUUGGAUGGGCCCGCGUUGGAUUAGCUAGUUGGUAGGGUAAAAGCCUACCAAGGCGACGAUCCAUAGCUGGUCUGAGAGGAUGAUCAGCCACACUGGGACUGGGACACGGCCCAGACUCCUACGGGAAGCAGCAGUGGGGAAUAGUGGACAAUGGGCGAAAGCCUGAUCCAGUAAUGCCGCGUGAGUGAUGAAGGCCUUAGGGUUGUAAAGCUCUUGUACCCGGGAUGAUAAUGACAGUACCGGGAGAAUAAGCUCCGGCUAACUCCGUG